AACGAACGCUGGCGGCAGGCCUAACACAUGCAAGUCGAACGAACCUUUAUGGUGAGUGGCGCACGGGUGCGUAACACGUGGGAAUAUACAUUUCGGUAAGGAAUAACGUAGAGAAAUUUGCGCUAAUACCUUAUAAUGACUCCGGUCCAAAGAUUUAUCGCCGAAGGAUUAGCCCGCGUCUGAUUAGGUAGUUGGUAGGGUAAAAGCCUACCAAGCCGACGAUCAGUAGCUGGUCUGAGAGGAUGAUCAGCCACACUGGAACUGAGACACGGUCCAGACUCCUACGGGAGGCAGCAGUGAGGAAUAUUGGACAAUGGGGGAAACCCUGAUCCAGCCAUGCCGCGUGAGUGACGAAGGCCUUAGGGUUGUAAAGCUCUUUCAGAUGCGAAGAUAAUGACGGUAACAUCAGAAGAAGCUCCGGCUAAAUUCGUGCCAGCCGCCGCGGUAA
This 448-nucleotide ribosomal RNA is filed under the name uncultured bacterium. RNAcentral describes it as "partial 16S ribosomal RNA". It matches the Rfam family "Bacterial small subunit ribosomal RNA", at positions 29 to 523 of the family's 1533-position model. The record is from RNAcentral.